CAUAGAUUAAAUAUUUGCAAGGUCUAUUCAUAAUGAUUUCGAACUGCAUCCCAUUUCGCACAGACCCCACAUAAGUACUUAUCAGAUCAUGGAAUCCAUCGUCUUGAAGAACUUCCAGUUAAUAAUGAGUUAAACGCGAUAUUUGCAUACAAAUUGGUGUAUGCAGUUACAACAUCUUCGUUGCUAACAACCUUCUUCAAUGGCAAGGAUAUUUGCUUUAACAAGUUGAAUAAGAAGUAAGACAGCAAAAAUCUGAACCGCACUUGAAGACAAAACGCGAAAGACUAUUCAUGGACCGACACAUUAGUGUACAUUCGAUAUUUACGGAUAUACUAUUGUAUGUGUGAGAAUGUAAAUGAUUUUUAUUGCAAUUUGAGACAAUUAUUUCGAAAUAUGAAGUGUUUUAAAAGCGGUUGUGUUUAUUUCAAGUUUAAAUUUAUAGAAAACUUAAAAACGAUUGUACCGGAUUUCGGAAGGAACAUAUAAGAUAUAUAUAACUUAUGAAGAAUUAGAAAGUGUUUAACACUCUUAUCUUGAAAAGCCUGGAAAGUAUUGACCUUAAUUUACUUGUGAUGAAUUAUCUUUUAUAUAAAAGAAUAAAAAAAAGUGUAAUAAAAGUUAAAUUUUAUUACAAUA
Long non-coding RNA from Teleopsis dalmanni, 636 nucleotides. RefSeq lists it as uncharacterized. The transcript has 5 exons. NCBI's taxonomy places the organism in Eukaryota, Metazoa, Arthropoda, Insecta, Diptera, Diopsidae. The record is from RefSeq and is a predicted model, not a curated record.